This 429-nucleotide ribosomal RNA is filed under the name Acidobacteriota bacterium. RNAcentral's name for it is "Acidobacteria bacterium partial 16S ribosomal RNA". It matches the Rfam family "Bacterial small subunit ribosomal RNA", at positions 355 to 776 of the family's 1533-position model. The record is from RNAcentral. Lineage: Bacteria; Pseudomonadati; Acidobacteriota.
UGGGGAAUUUUGGACAAUGGGGGAAACCCUGAUCCAGCCAUCCCGCGUGUGCGCUGAAGGCCUUCGGGUUGUAAAGCACUUUUGGCAGGAAAGAAACGUCAUGGGUUAAUACCCCGUGAAACUGACGGUACCUGCAGAAUAAGCACCGGCUAACUACGUGCCAGCAGCCGCGGUAAUACGUAGGGUGCAAGCGUUAAUCGGAAUUACUGGGCGUAAAGCGUGCGCAGGCGGUUCGGAAAGAAAGAUGUGAAAUCCCAGAGCUCAACUUUGGAACUGCAUUUUUAACUACCGGGCUAGAGUGUGUCAGAGGGAGGUGGAAUUCCGCGUGUAGCAGUGAAAUGCGUAGAUAUGCGGAGGAAAACCGAUGGAGAAGGCAGCCACCUGGGAUAACACUGACGCUAAUGCACGAAAGCGUGGGGAGCAAACAGG